This 428-nucleotide ribosomal RNA is filed under the name uncultured bacterium. RNAcentral's name for it is "partial 16S ribosomal RNA". It matches the Rfam family "Bacterial small subunit ribosomal RNA", at positions 354 to 796 of the family's 1533-position model. The record is from RNAcentral.
GUGGGGAAUAUUGGGCAAUGGGCGCAAGCCUGACCCAGCAACGCCGCGUGAAGGAAGAAGGCUUUCGGGUUGUAAACUUCUUUUAUGUGGGACGAAAAAAAUGACGGUACCACAUGAAUAAGCCACGGCUAACUACGUGCCAGCAGCCGCGGUAAUACGUAGGUGGCAAGCGUUGUCCGGAUUUACUGGGUGUAAAGGGCGCGUAGGCGGGAGGACAAGUCAGAUGUGAAAUACCCGGGCUCAACCCGGGAACUGCAUUUGAAACUGUUCUUCUUGAGUGAUGGAGAGGCAAGUGGAAUUCCUAGUGUAGCGGUGAAAUGCGUAGAUAUCUGGAGGAACAUCAGUGGCGAAGGCGACACCCUGGACCGAUACUGACACUGAGGUGCGAAAGCGUGGGUAGCGAACAGGAUUAGAAACCCGGGUAGUCC